CCUACGGGCGGCAGCAGUGAGGAAUAUUGGUCAAUGGGCGAGAGCCUGAACCAGCCAAGUCGCGUGAGGGAGUACUGCCCUAUGGGUUGUAAACCUCUUUUGUCGGGGAGCAAAAUCCGGACGUGUCCGGCUGUUAGAUUACCCGAAUAAAAAGCCUCGGCUAACUCCGUGCCAGCAGCCGCGGUAAUACGGAGGAUGCGAGCGUUAUCCGGAUUUAUUGGGUUUAAAGGGUGCGCAGGCGGAUUUUUAAGUCAGUGGUCAAAUCGUGGGGCUCAACCCCAUCCAGCCGUUGAAACUGGGGAUCUAGAGUGUGCGAGAGGUAUGCGGAAUGCGUGGUGUAGCGGUGAAAUGCAUAGAUAUCACGCAGAACCCCGAUUGCGAAGGCAGCAUACCGGUGCACAACUGACGCUCAGGCACGAAAGCGUGGGUAUCGAACAGGAUUAGAUACCCCUGUAGUC
This 458-nucleotide ribosomal RNA is filed under the name uncultured bacterium. RNAcentral describes it as "partial 16S ribosomal RNA". It matches the Rfam family "Bacterial small subunit ribosomal RNA", at positions 338 to 795 of the family's 1533-position model. The record is from RNAcentral.